This is a long non-coding RNA of Sitophilus oryzae (rice weevil), 532 nucleotides long. RefSeq lists it as uncharacterized. The record is from RefSeq and is a predicted model, not a curated record. The transcript is spliced from 4 exons. Lineage: Eukaryota; Metazoa; Arthropoda; Insecta; Coleoptera; Curculionidae.
GCGGCAGCCAUUGCUCAUAUCACAGGCUCAUAUUCUCAUAUCAAAUAUCGAUUGUCGAUUUGAUUUUUCGCUUGCGAAUUUCCAAAUUAUUUGAGUUGUAUUAGCAAUAUUAUGUGUGUUUAAGUGAUCACUAAUAUCCUAUAUAUUGCGCGAAUUACCCAGAGACCAACAUGGGAACAAGGCCUAUAUUUCGCUCAAGAAAAAUGUUGUAUUGAUAGAUCUAUGGAGGAAAUAACAAAGAUGAGUCCAGAAUUUAGCCAAAAUGCAUAAUUUUCCAAAAAUACUGAAAAACCAAAAAUAUGACAAGAAUCUUUGAAAAUAUAACACAAUGCCUGCCUUUUGUAAUUAUGUUGUUUUGUGAUGAUAGUAAAAUUUGGUUGAUAUAAAACUGAAACAUAACUAUUCCUGCUCUAUGAAUGACUCUGUGAUAACGUUACCCAGGAUUUAACUAAUUCAGCAUAAUCAGGUUUCGCUAGACAAGAGAAAUAUAUGACCAUGAAAGUGUAUAGAAGAUAGGCCUGAAAAUAAUAAU